This 174-nucleotide ribosomal RNA is filed under the name uncultured bacterium. RNAcentral's name for it is "partial 16S ribosomal RNA". It matches the Rfam family "Bacterial small subunit ribosomal RNA", at positions 338 to 508 of the family's 1533-position model. The record is from RNAcentral.
CCUACGGGAGGCAGCAGUGAGGAAUAUUGGUCAAUGGGCGAGAGUCCUGAACCAGCCAAGUAGCGUGCAGGAUGACGGCCCUAUGGGUUGUAAACUGCUUUUAUAAGGGAAUAAAGUGAGUCUCGUGAGACUUUUUGCAUGUACCUUAUGAAUAAGGACCGGCUAAUUCCGUGC